This 429-nucleotide ribosomal RNA is filed under the name Leptodactylus petersii group sp. ABGD cluster 97. RNAcentral describes it as "partial large subunit ribosomal RNA". It matches the Rfam family "Bacterial large subunit ribosomal RNA", at positions 1835 to 2441 of the family's 2925-position model. Lineage: Eukaryota; Metazoa; Chordata; Amphibia; Anura; Leptodactylidae. The record is from RNAcentral.
CUUGCAGCCAAUAAGAGGUCCAGCCUGCCCAGUGACUCUGUUCAACGGCCGCGGUAUCCUAACCGUGCAAAGGUAGCGCAAUCAUUUGUCCUUUAAAUAAGGACUAGUAUGAACGGCACCACGAAAGCUAUACUGUCUCCUUCCCCUAAUCAGUGAAACUAAUCCCCCCGUGAAGAAGCGGGGAUAACCUUAUAAGACGAGAAGACCCUAUGGAGCUUUAAACGCACAACAAUUGUCACGGACCCCUCCCCACCCCCCCUGGAAGAAACAACUUACCCGAACAUUUUGAUUGCAAGUUUUAGGUUGGGGUGACCGCGGAGCAAAAAAUAACCUCCAUAGUGAAUGGGAUUCUUUCCCUUAAACCCAGGGCCACAACCCCAAGGAUCAAUAAAUUGACACUCAUUGACCCAAUAUUUUUGACCAACGAAC